GUAUACCUACGGGAGGCAGCAGUGGGGAAUAUUGCACAGUGGGGGAAACCCUGAUGCAGCAACGCCGCGUGAGUGAAGAAGUAUUUCGGUAUGUAAAGCUCUAUCAGCAGGGAAGAGAAUGACGGUACCUGACUAAGAAGCCCCGGCUAACUACGUGCCAGCAGCCGCGGUAAUACGUAGGGGGCAAGCGUUAUCCGGAAUUACUGGGUGUAAAGGGAGCGUAGACGGCAAUGCAAGUCCGGAGUGGAAUGCGGCAGCUCAACUGCCGAACUGCUCUGGAAACUGUAUGGCUUGAGUGCAGGAGG
RNAcentral lists this ribosomal RNA (305 nucleotides) under uncultured bacterium. Its description in RNAcentral is "bacterial SSU rRNA". It matches the Rfam family "Bacterial small subunit ribosomal RNA", at positions 333 to 655 of the family's 1533-position model. The record is from RNAcentral.